Molecule: ribosomal RNA, 493 nt
Filed under: uncultured bacterium
Lineage: Bacteria
Description: bacterial SSU rRNA
Rfam family: Bacterial small subunit ribosomal RNA
Source: RNAcentral
GACGAACGCUGGCGGCGUGCUUAACACAUGCAAGUCGAACGGAGCUUCUUGGAUUGAGACUUCGGUCAAAUGAAUUGAAGCUUAGUGGCGGACUGGUGAGUAACGCGUGAAGAACCUGCCUUUCAGAGGGGGACAACAGUUGGAAACGACUGCUAAUACCGCAUAAUGUGCGACGGGGGCAUCCCUGACGCACCAAAGAUUUUAUCGCUGAAAGAUGGCUUCGCGUCUGAUUAGCUAGUUGGUGAGGUAACGGCUCACCAAGGCGACGAUCAGUAGCCGGACUGAGAGGUUGACCGGCCACAUUGGGACUGAGAUACGGCCCAGACUCCUACGGGAGGCAGCAGUGGGGAAUAUUGGGCAAUGGGCGAAAGCCUGACCCAGCGACGCCGCGUGAAGGAAGAAGGUCUUCGGAUUGUAAACUUCUUUAUCAGGGACGAAUACUGACGGUACCUGAUGAAUAAGCCACGGCUAACUACGUGCCAGCAGCCGACGG